RNAcentral lists this ribosomal RNA (490 nucleotides) under uncultured bacterium. RNAcentral describes it as "partial 16S ribosomal RNA". It matches the Rfam family "Bacterial small subunit ribosomal RNA", at positions 30 to 507 of the family's 1533-position model. The record is from RNAcentral.
AUUGAACGCUGGCGGCAGGCUUAACACAUGCAAGUCGAGCGGUAACAGAGAGAAGCUUGCUUCUCUGCUGACGAGCGGCGGACGGGUGAGUAAUGCCUAGGAAUCUGCCUAGUAGUGGGGGAUAACUUGCCGAAAGGUAAGCUAAUACCGCAUACGUCCUACGGGAGAAAGGAGGGGACCUUCGGGCCUUUCGCUAUUAGAUGAGCCUAGGUCGGAUUAGUUAGUUGGUGAGGUAAUGGCUCACCAAGACCGCGAUCCGUAACUGGUCUGAGAGGAUGAUCAGUCACACUGGAGCUGAGACACGGUCCAGACUCCUACGGGAGGCAGCAGUGGGGAAUAUUGGACAAUGGGGGGAACCCUGAUCCAGCCAUGCCGCGUGUGUGAAGAAGGUCUUAGGAUUGUAAAGCACUUUAAGUUGGGAGGAAGAGCAGUUAACUAAUAUUUGACUGUUUUGACGUUACCGACAGAAUAAGCACCGGCUAACUUCGUG